This 406-nucleotide ribosomal RNA is filed under the name uncultured bacterium. RNAcentral describes it as "partial 16S ribosomal RNA". It matches the Rfam family "Bacterial small subunit ribosomal RNA", at positions 30 to 526 of the family's 1533-position model. The record is from RNAcentral.
AUUGAACGCUGGCGGCAGGCCUAACACAUGCAAGUCGAACGAGUGGCGGACGGGUGAGUAAUGUCUGGGAAACUGCCCGAUGGAGGGGGAUAACUACUGGAAACGGUAGCUAAUACCGCAUACCAUCGGAUGUGCCCAGAUGGGAUUAGCUAGUAGGUGGGGUAACGGCUCACCUAGGCGACGAUCCCUAGCUGGUCUGAGAGGAUGACACGCCACACUGGAACGGAGACACGGUCCAGACUCCGACGGGAGGCAGCAGUUGGGAAUAUUUCACAAUGGGCGCAAGCCUGAUGCAGCAAUGCCGCGUGUAUGAAGAAGGUCUUCGGGUUGUAAAGUAUUUUCAGCGAGGAGGCGUUACCCGCAGAAGAAGAACCGGCUAACUCCGUGCCAGCAGCCGCGGUAAUUC